GUUAAAAUGAACGGCCGUGGCUUUAAAAC
This 29-nucleotide small RNA is filed under the name Lacticaseibacillus paracasei. RNAcentral's name for it is "Lactobacillus paracasei CRISPR-DR32". Lineage: Bacteria; Bacillati; Bacillota; Bacilli; Lactobacillales; Lactobacillaceae. The record is from RNAcentral.